Long non-coding RNA from Asparagus officinalis (garden asparagus), 3779 nucleotides. RefSeq lists it as uncharacterized. NCBI's taxonomy places the organism in Eukaryota, Viridiplantae, Streptophyta, Magnoliopsida, Asparagales, Asparagaceae. The transcript has 2 exons. The record is from RefSeq and is a predicted model, not a curated record.
UCGAAACUCUAAUUGGUUGAAUGAAAAGCCCUAAUCUGUACGAUAAAAAAAAAUCCUGAUUUGUUUGAUUAAAAGCCCUAAUUUGCUAUCCUUUAUUGACUGAAAACUGAAAAGACCUAGUUUGUUUGACAAAUGAUUUAGCUUAAAUUUUUUUCUAGAGCACAUGCACCUUGAAUUAAAGAAGUUAUAAGCUAAAACUUGCUUCGGAAUUUGGAACUACAAGCUACUAAAAUUAGUGCUCAAAAAUAGAGAAUGCACAUUGAUGUGUAACUGUUAAGUUUGUAAUGUCAAUUUUUGAAAAUUAUAUACCACGAGAGAGUGCAUAUCUGAAUAUGUGUAGCAAUGUUCUGGAUAUUUUUUGCUUGCAAGUAUAUUCUUUUACAUUAGAAAAAGAAGAGAAUAAGUAAUAUUCUUUUAUUCACUGAACUAUUUCUAAUAAUUUCACUAUUACAACGAACACUCAAAAUUCUUUCAAAUUCUUUACUCCAUUUUUUUUUCCUUUGAGUCACUUUAUCAUUUUCAUGUCGAUAGACUAUUUUGAAAGUGAAAAAAAUUUAUGAACACGUGCAAUGCAUGUGCACUAUGUUGCUUUUAUUAAACUCAUAUGUAAAAAUGUAACCAAAAUUUUUAAAAUUUAUAUUAAAAUAUGUAAUUAAAUUAAGUAUAUGAAAUUCCAACUUAAACUCAUUUCUUAUAAAAUUUUCUAGUGUGAUCAAUCUUUCAUAAACAUUAAAUUUAUCCAACUGUCAUCAAUUUGUGCCGCAAUUAUUUGUACAUGCAAAUAAUUAUGAUUUUUAAUUUUUAUUUAUUUUGAUUCAUAUAGAACAUGCAUUUAUGAUCUUAAAUUCAUAAAAUACAAUCCAACCAUAUUAAUUUUUAUACAUUAGCAUGAAUUAAUCUACAAUUUAAAUAUCGUAAAAAACACGCAUUUCACAUCAUAUCGUUCAUGUAAAGAAAAACAAUAACACAAAACCAUAAAUUAUGAUAAAAAUUAAAUUUAGACACUUAAAAGUAAAUCACAACAUAGUUCAGUCAUAACAGCAUAGGAUUGAAGCAAUCUUAUACCAUUAGUAUAUACUUUGUGACAUGUUUUUGAAGAAUAUCCUUAGUAAACCAAGCCCACCCUUUAAACGUCCUAAAGGCCGCGUUUUUUACUCCGACUCUAAACGACUCGACCCGACUCGAUUUUUGCCUCCUGAGAGGGAGCACUGCACAGUCUGGACCCAAAACCCUAUAAUUUAAUAUGCACCCCCCGUCUUUGAUUCUUGAGAUCCCUCCAAAAAACCAAGAAAACCAAAAAAAGAGGAAAAAAGGAAAAAUUGUUAUUAGUAUUCUUCGUCUUCACGGUGCUGAUGUUCAAUUAUUAUUUUUUGGUUCUUGAAUUUUUGGUUAUAUGUCCAUGGGGUCUAAGCCGUGAACAAGAAGCAUAAGCCUCUACAGAGAAAAUCAAAUCAACACCCAGUUUCUUCAUGUAACCUUACAAUAGAAAUGAUACCCCCAGAUCUGAUUGCGAAGAUGAGAAAAAAUUGUGCGACACUUGUUAACAAUGUUACACAGCCUGGAUCCGCACUUGCUAAUUCAGCCUCCACUGUUGUCUUCAUAAAACAUUCUAUGAACAAACACCACGUUUUAUAUUAACCUCCCUUCAGAAGGAUGCCCCAACUUGAGAUUUAAUACAUAAAAAUAUGUAUAGAUUUCUUUGAUACAUAUUGUCAAAAAUGUAAUGAUAUUCUCACGAAACUUCACAGAGAGAAUACAGACAAGUUUUUGCUAGAUCUGGAACAAGUCAUUGGGGGUCAAUAUAGGUAUUCAGGCUUAUGAUGAUGGCACCAACAAGAACUUCGCGGUAGUAAUUUUAUAUUUCACUUAACGAUUUGAGUUAAUCUCAUAUCCGCCUGAGAAGGAGUUUGUAAAUUACACGAGUAAUAAUGAAUUUUUUUCCCUUUUUUAAUACCCCUUUUUUCCCCUCUGUGGAACCUUUAAUUUUUCGGGAAAAGUGGUCAUUAUUACUCGUGCAGCUUACAAACUCCUUCUCAAGCGGACAUGAGAUUAACUCAAAUCGUAAGGUGAAAUAUAAAAUUACUAUCGCAAAGUUCUUGUUGAUGCCAUUAUCAUAAGCCUGAAUACCUACAUUGACCCCCAAUGGCUUGUUCCAGGUCAAACGAAAACUUGCUUGCAUUCUCUAUGAAGUUUCGUGAGACUAUCAUUGUAUUUUUGACCAUAGAUAUCAAAGAGAUCUAUACAUGUCUUUAUGUAUUGGAUCUCAGGUUGCGGCACCCUUCUAAAGAAAGAUUGAUAUAAAAUAUGGUGUUUGUCCAUGGAAUGUUUCAUGUAGACAACAAUCGAGGCUGAAUUAGCAACUGCGGAUCUAGGCAGUGUAAUAUUUCAUCCAGAAGAAGAUGAUGGCCUUGUCUGUAUCUCUGUGAAAACUGAUGCGCUUAAGGAGGCAAUUCUUGGAACUCUUUCAAGGAAUCGUACCCAGAUGAUAUUUGGCUUUGGUUUAUGUUUCGAUAAAAGUUUUAAGUUGUCUCACACCUCCAACAAAGCUACCGUCCAUUUUUUCGGUUCUUCCGAUGCUCAGCCACAGAGAUAUCCUUUAUAAUUUGCUUUCUGCAUCAAGAACUUGUGAUGUUUUUUUAUUAGAUAUUGUCUUUCCUCGACUUUUAUGUUCCUAUUCCACACCCGUCUGGGACAUCAUUGAUUCCGGUGAGGAACUUAAUUUUUUUUCUCUUUACACCGCUAUACUUUUCUUUUCGAGUCUCAUCAUAUUUUGCAGUUAGGUGCUAUAUGCAAUUUGUAUUCUGAUUUUUACCUGUAUGUUGCUGCACAUCCGUACAUUGCUUUCAUUAACUUGUUAUUUUUGUUUUAUCCAUUAUUGUGACAAUUUCAAGUUUUCUUUUGAAACGUGACAUCUAUGUUGCAUUGGUUCUUCUAUCCUACGCUUCACAUCUACUCGGAUCCUUGAAUAUAUGCAUAAAAAUUCAUAUGUGUAAUCAAUUGUAUGUCCUACAUUUGGCAUCAAAUUCCUGAAACUUGUUGGAAUAAGGCCAGGUGCGUCUCAGCCCAUAUUCAGUUUAAAGUUAUGAUUUUAAAUGAUUAUUUUCAUAUUUACUUGAGAACUAUGAGGUGAUGUGCUUCAAUUGUGUCCUCGUACCUUGCCAUUUACAAAUUUGUCAUGCCCUGUCCCUGCACCCGUACUUGUGUCCAUGCAGUUUAGCAUGCCAUUCUUCAACCUUCAUACUUAAGACUAUACUGUUCUGCAGUUGAAUGUCCAUUUAGGGUUUUUUUUUGAUAUUAGUCCCUUAAAUCAUUAGCAUUUUGAUAUUAGUCCCUCAAAUCUUCAUAUUUUGAUAUUGGUCCUUUAAAAACCGUUAGUGUGUGGAUAUGAGUCUUGUUUGUUGGUGUUAUAAUGUUAGGUGAAUAUUCUGUUAACUCUGAACAUUUUUGCGUGGAUUGACCUCUGAUUAUAAACCCAAACCCAUUACCUAUUUAACUCAUACCCAACUACAAUCCUAAAAAUUUGCAGCAAUAAACUAAAGUGGCGUAGGUUCAAACCAGCAACAAUACAGGGGUUUAGCUGCAAAUAAGCUUAUUCUGAAUGUGCUACUUCUGCUGGAGCCUUUCUUUUGUGUAAAUUCCUCCAGUGACUUGUUAAAUGAGUAAUGCUUGACGUCAUGUGAUCCGGUUUCCUUUCAUCUGUUUGUUCAAGGAACUGAGCAGGAUUUUUAUGUGAAGUGAAAUGAAUCUGUCGUAAUUUGAGGUGGCGUUUGUGCCCGCUU